This 72-nucleotide transfer RNA is filed under the name Camelus ferus (Wild Bactrian camel). It matches the Rfam family "tRNA". From Rfam's summary of the family: Transfer RNA (tRNA) molecules are approximately 80 nucleotides in length. The record is from Rfam by way of RNAcentral. Lineage: Eukaryota; Metazoa; Chordata; Mammalia; Artiodactyla; Camelidae.
GAGGGUAUAGCUCAGUGGUGGAGUGCAUGCUUAGCACGCACAAAGUUCUGGGUUCAAUUCCCAGUACCUCUG